This 166-nucleotide ribosomal RNA is filed under the name uncultured bacterium. RNAcentral describes it as "partial 16S rRNA". It matches the Rfam family "Bacterial small subunit ribosomal RNA", at positions 355 to 511 of the family's 1533-position model. The record is from RNAcentral.
UAGGGAAUCUUCGGCAAUGGACGAAAGUCUGACCGAGCAACGCCGCGUGAGUGAAGUAAGGUUUUCGGAUCGUGAAACUCUGUUGGUAGAGAAGAACGUUGGUGAGAGUGGAAAGCUCAUCAAGUGACGGUAACUACCCAGAAAGGGACGGCUAACUACGUGCCAC